GGCCAAAGGGAGCAGACUGUAAAUCUGCCGGCACUGCCUUCGAUGGUUCGAAUCCGUCUCCCUCCA
This 66-nucleotide transfer RNA is filed under the name Vibrio crassostreae. RNAcentral describes it as "tRNA-Tyr". It matches the Rfam family "tRNA", at positions 17 to 71 of the family's 71-position model. Rfam says of the family: Transfer RNA (tRNA) molecules are approximately 80 nucleotides in length. Their secondary structure includes four short double-helical elements and three loops (D, anti-codon, and T loops). The record is from RNAcentral. Lineage: Bacteria; Pseudomonadati; Pseudomonadota; Gammaproteobacteria; Vibrionales; Vibrionaceae.